This 677-nucleotide ribosomal RNA is filed under the name Bifidobacterium longum. RNAcentral describes it as "bacterial SSU rRNA". It matches the Rfam family "Bacterial small subunit ribosomal RNA", at positions 97 to 789 of the family's 1533-position model. Lineage: Bacteria; Bacillati; Actinomycetota; Actinomycetes; Bifidobacteriales; Bifidobacteriaceae. The record is from RNAcentral.
GGCGAACGGGUGAGUAAUGCGUGACCGACCUGCCCCAUACACCGGAAUAGCUCCUGGAAACGGGUGGUAAUGCCGGAUGCUCCAGUUGAUCGCAUGGUCUUCUGGGAAAGCUUUCGCGGUAUGGGAUGGGGUCGCGUCCUAUCAGCUUGACGGCGGGGUAACGGCCCACCGUGGCUUCGACGGGUAGCCGGCCUGAGAGGGCGACCGGCCACAUUGGGACUGAGAUACGGCCCAGACUCCUACGGGAGGCAGCAGUGGGGAAUAUUGCACAAUGGGCGCAAGCCUGAUGCAGCGACGCCGCGUGAGGGAUGGAGGCCUUCGGGUUGUAAACCUCUUUUAUCGGGGAGCAAGCGAGAGUGAGUUUACCCGUUGAAUAAGCACCGGCUAACUACGUGCCAGCAGCCGCGGUAAUACGUAGGGUGCAAGCGUUAUCCGGAAUUAUUGGGCGUAAAGGGCUCGUAGGCGGUUCGUCGCGUCCGGUGUGAAAGUCCAUCGCUUAACGGUGGAUCCGCGCCGGGUACGGGCGGGCUUGAGUGCGGUAGGGGAGACUGGAAUUCCCGGUGUAACGGUGGAAUGUGUAGAUAUCGGGAAGAACACCAAUGGCGAAGGCAGGUCUCUGGGCCGUUACUGACGCUGAGGAGCGAAAGCGUGGGGAGCGAACAGGAUUAGAUACCCUG